This is a long non-coding RNA of Cryptomeria japonica (Japanese cedar), 294 nucleotides long. RefSeq lists it as uncharacterized. NCBI's taxonomy places the organism in Eukaryota, Viridiplantae, Streptophyta, Pinopsida, Cupressales, Cupressaceae. The record is from RefSeq and is a predicted model, not a curated record. The transcript has 4 exons.
GGGGUGUGCAAUUUAAAGAUGAAGAGAGCCAGCCAUGGUUGAAGACAAAGAGUUUGUUGGAUGAAAGGCUUUUGGAUUGUCUGAUGAUGCAUCACGUGUACGUCCUCACCCAUCAGUGACUUUGGCUACACAUCAUACACCAUAUGUCGACACCACUAUCACUCUUGGUAUGGCUACAGGAUUGAGCCAAAUGCAACCAUCGACAUUGUCAUUUGAGGACUUGACUGCAACCAUUUUUUUUGUUCAUGAGAGUGGACCUCCUCGUACCACUGAGGGCAUUAUAGAGCAUGGUCG